GACGAACGCUGGCGGCGUGCUUAACACAUGCAAGUCGAACGGUAAGGCAAGUCGGGGUACACGAGUGGCGAACGGGUGAGUAACACGUGGGUGAUCUGCCCUGCACUUCGGGAUAAGCCUGGGAAACUGGGUCUAAUACCGGAUAGGACCAUUGCCUGCAUGGGUGGUGGUGGAAAGCUUUUGCGGUGUGGGAUGGGCCCGCGGCCUAUCAGCUUGUUGGUGGGGUGAUGGCCUACCAAGGCGACGACGGGUAGCCGGCCUGAGAGGGUGACCGGCCACACUGGGACUGAGAUACGGCCCAGACUCCUACGGGAGGCAGCAGUGGGGAAUAUUGCACAAUGGGCGCAAGCCUGAUGCAGCGACGCCGCGUGAGGGAUGACGGCCUUCGGGUUGUAAACCUCUUUCAGCACCGACGAAGCGCAAGUGACGGUAGGUGCAGAAGAAGGACCGGCCAACUACGUGCCAGCCGCCGCCGUAA
RNAcentral lists this ribosomal RNA (478 nucleotides) under uncultured bacterium. Its description in RNAcentral is "partial 16S ribosomal RNA". It matches the Rfam family "Bacterial small subunit ribosomal RNA", at positions 28 to 523 of the family's 1533-position model. The record is from RNAcentral.